This is a non-coding RNA of Podarcis lilfordi (Lilford's wall lizard), 2744 nucleotides long. Lineage: Eukaryota; Metazoa; Chordata; Lepidosauria; Squamata; Lacertidae. The record is from the annotation of a GenBank genome assembly.
AAAAAUUAUAUGAAAAGCAAACAAACCCAAAAUUGCAACCAGCUUGCGAAAGCGCAGCUGGUGGGUGCUCUCGCCAGCAUCUCAAAGAGCAGGAGAAGAGACUUUGGGCCAAGAGAAGAUGGUAACCUUUGUACAACAUGCUUUGGAGAGAGGACUCUGCCAAAGGGCUUAUCCGACACCACUGCUGAAAUAAGCCAACACUGUUGAUCCCCCUUCAGCCUAGCGGGACAGGUGGGAAAGGGCCAACAGGCCAACCAGGGUAAAGUUGAGAGGGAGUGAGGAGGUGGGAGGUAGGCUGGGGAGGGAGGGAGAAUAUAAGGUUGAUCUAGGGGUCACCCUCAACUUGCCAUGCAGACAGCUGCCAAUCAGUGGUUGCCUCUGCAAAGAUUGCUUGGGCAGAGGAAUCUGAGUCCAGCAGGGCUGGAUGAAGUUACAGACCUAGCAGCAAAUCCUGAUACGCUCCUCAGAAGUGUUUUUUAAAAAAAUGAAACAGGCUUGGGGGCUCAAGUCUGCUUAGCAGCCAUUCUUAGGAGCACCCCAAUUCCAGAUUUUUGUGUUCAUGGGUGAAGAGUCUGCAGACAGAUGAUGGUAAUUGUUAAGAGAUCAGAAGGCUAUACAGUGGUACCUUUGGUUACGUACUUAAUUCGUUCCGGAGGUCCGUUCUUAACCUGAAACUGUUCUUAACCUGAAGCACCACUUUAGCUAAUGGGGCCUCCCGCUGCUGCUGCACCGCCGCUGCACGAUUUCUGUUCUCAUCCUGAGGUAAAGUUCUUAACCUAAGGUACUAUUUCUGGGUUAGCGGAGUCUGUAACCUGAAGCGUAUUUAACCCGAGGUACCACUGUAAUUCAGUUGUUCCCAAAGUGGGUGGUAUUGCCCUCCUGGGGGGGAUUACCCCGGGGGGGGCGCUUUAAGAGGCAAGGGGGUGGCAGAGGGACACUGGAGACAUCGAUGACUCUCUGGCUUUGAAAAGCGAGUUCCUCUCAGCUAUGCUGGAUUAAAGUACAUCGUUUUCAUUGCAUUUUGAAUAAACGUGCAACUAAUUGUUACUGUUUUGAAUUUCAUUGUGCUUUCAUGUUCCUUAUUGGGUUGUGCAAACUGCUGUUCUGAAUGAUGCUUUUCAUAGGGCAAGGGGCACUGAGGAUGAGUUCAUGGAACCAAGGGGACGCUGGCCAGAAAAAUUGGGAACCACUGAUAAUAAUCUGUAAUUGGAGAGCUGGAAAACGUGUGGAAAAGAGGAUCAGGAUGGUCGCGGUGGGGGUGGGGGGUGAGAGCACCUUUCCUAGGAGGAAAGCUAAAAUCAGGGAUAAAACAGAUGUUCUUGGACUCCAUCUCCCCCCUGACCUCUGGCCUUGCUGGUGAAGUCCAUUUUGGAGGCCACAGGUUCCCCAUCCCUAUCACAUGGAGACAACAGAAGAGCAUGGGACGUGUUAUGUAAAGGAGCCUACAGGUACUGGCAUCUGUUAGAAGUGAUACAACCUCUGUCAAAACUCCCAGAUUGCUUUGCCCACCAGACCAUGCAAGGCAAUUCCUCUGAACUCCAUGACCAGCAACCAGAGCUAGCCAUAUUGUAUAUCAGUCUAAAUAGCAGGGUUCUCUGCCAACACUAAGUAAGUCUUAAAUAAGCAGCCCUGAUAAAAUUACAUAAGAUCCAUGUCUGUGGCCAGUAUCUCUACAGCAGUGUGCCCCAACCUGUGCCCUCCUCCAGAUGUUUUGGACCACAACUCUCAUCAGCUCCAGUCAGCACUCGCUGAAGACGAUGGGAGUUGUAGCCCAAAACAUCUGGAGGGAACCAGGUUGGGGAGUAGGGCUGCUCUAAAGUACUAGCUGCAGAUAUUAAGUAGUGUCCUUGCAAAUGUGAUGAAUGCACAGAAUUCGCUUUGCUGAGGAUUUCAGAAUGUCUUUUUUCUUUAAGAACCCCAAAUCUUAAUUUUAAAAUUGCUGGGAUUAUUUCGUUUUGGGCAGUUGAAAGUUAGUUAAAGAUGAAUUGCACAUACUUACUACGGAAAUAUACCGGUAUUUUGUUAAGUUUCUCACAUUGGGACCUGUUCUUUCCCCCCGUUUUCAUUUACAAAACUCUGUACUCUGAUAGUAGGCUUAAAAGCAGCCCCAGCCAGCACAGUGUUGGUGUUGUUGUUGUUGUAGUAAGAAAAUCAUUUCUUACAUUUAUAUCCAGGGCUUUUGUUCAGCCAGAACUCUCCAGAACUCAGUCACGGCACCUCUCAGGUGAGCACCAUUAUAAGAGAACAAGGGAGGCGUUCAUGGUGAGCACCUCUUUUUCUACAAAAAAACACAUUGUUUAUAUCUCACUGUUUUCUCUGAAAUGCUUGCAGAGAGGGAAUGCGCAUAACAGAUUGUCAUUGAAUUGGCUACUCACUGUCUCGCACUGGAGCUACCUGCAAAUCACAGCCUCUGGAAAUCCUUAUUUUUCUUUGCAUUUAUAUGCCAUAGAGCAAAGUUUAACAGCUGGCCUCCCUUUCUUGCAGCCAGUGAUCAGCACCUGUGAAAAUUUCAAGUUCAGGAAAUCUCAAGGUCAGACACCCUGAGGCAUUUAUGGUCCAGGAGAACGGUUACGACUUUCAUGUGACUCUCUCUUACCCUUGAUGACCGAAAUAAAAGUAUUGCAAACAAAGGAUGGUUGAGAAAUUAACAGAAUUUCCUAGUAAAAGAUCGUUCUCAAAAUGCAUUCAUUAAUGGUAACCUCCUCCUCCUUCCUGCCCUCUCCAGUCUGCUUCUCACACCAAGG